RNAcentral lists this long non-coding RNA (31210 nucleotides) under Setaria viridis. RNAcentral describes it as "long non-coding RNA (SVIR_LNC008309)". Lineage: Eukaryota; Viridiplantae; Streptophyta; Magnoliopsida; Poales; Poaceae. The record is from RNAcentral.
CAGACAAAGCAGGAUUACAUAUUGCGCAUGCCAAAGCACGGCUGUGCAAGACGUAGACUACUACAGAUAUACACACCCCAGGCCCGAGCAUAUAACACUGAGAAUCACCUCCAUAGUAAAGACUUCAAGAUGGGAUCAACUAUGCAUACAGCACAUACAAUCCCAUUCUGCAGACAAUGAAGCGGUAAUACUCAGAUAUGUAUGAUCUCGAUCGACAACACACUUAUUCCUUUCCUUGGAAGCUUCUAGUAGUCGUCGGUGUUGUUCCUGCCCGACCUACUCAUCGGAGCCGGACUUGUUGUAGCCUCCGCUGUAGUCAUCGGUUCCUGACUUGCUGCUGCGGCCAUAGUCAUCGCCGCUGGACUUGUUGUAGCCUCCGUCAUAGUUGUCCGUGCUAGACUUGUUGUAGCCACCGCUGCCAUAGUCGUCAGUGUUGGAGGUGUUCUUACCGCUGCCAUAGUCGUCGGUGCUCGACUUGUUGUAGCCGCUGCCGCCGUAGCCAUCAGUGCUGGAGUUCUUGUAGCCACCAUCAUAGUCGUCAGAGCUUGGCUUCUUGUAUUCGUCGCUGGUGGUGGACUUGCUGUAUCCACCACUGCCACUGUAGUCAUCGGUGCCAGAUUUGUUGUAGUCGCUGCUUAGGUCAUUGGACUUGUAGCCACCAUCGUUUCUGUAGUCGUCGGUGCUGGACUUGUUGUAGCCACCCCCGCUACUGUAGUCGUCCGUGCUGGACUUGUAGCCGCCACCCCCGCUACCGUAGUCAUCGGUGCUGGACUUGUUGUAGCCACCAGCGUUACCGUAGUCGUUGGUGCUGGACUUGCUGUAGCCACCUUCGUCAACACUGGUGCUUCUGUAGCUGCUGCGAUCAUACUCAUCAGCCAUUUUAAGUUGUGAAGUAAAAUAUCACAAAAAUAAAUUGUAUGCUCAGUUCUGUGCAUCCAUGGAGCAUGGGGUAGUAGGUAUUUAUAGCAGAGAACUAGAUACACAGGAGGUUUGAAAGCAUCAAUAGCAAUCUGAAAUACGGGUGGCUAAUAUGAUGGACAUUAAACGGUGAAAGCAGCUCAUUUGUUGUCUAGGUGGAGAUCUUUCUGUGCUCCUCGAGAAAAGACAACUGGACCUGGAGCAAUGCCAUAUGACCGCAAAGAGAAAAAGGAUUUUGAUCCAUCAAUACGUUUCAACCCUGAAAGAUAGCCAAUGCACCACAUAAGUGUUUUUUAUGUAAGCCAAACCACGUAUAAAUGUUGUCUGACGGAAACACACAUGGAAUAUCACAUCUUUUCUUAAACACCAACUGAACUUACUCUGUUUCCACAUCUAUAUGAGUAUCAAAUCUAUGUUAGUUGAUCAGUAAAUAAGAAUAUCCCGAAUAGACCAAUGGAUACUCACAUCUUGCACAAGUGGAUACAGCUGUAAGAAAUUACUUAAUUCAAAUUAGAAAAAACAUUUAGGAUUUGAACACAAAUUAAUCAGCAGGUUUUUAUAGUUUCACAACAAUAAAAUAUGUCCAUAAUUCUACGAAUCAUGUCAUUAGGACAACACAGUGUUAACUGUGAAAACUUAAAGAGUCAUAAAAACAAGGAAACUAUGCACCACUCAUAUAACAGAACCAUGUUAUGAGAUGAAAAUAGCACAAAAUGCUGAAUACCAUCUAGAGGUUUUGCAGCAUGGUGCAACGUUGCAUCCAAAACCAAGAUCUGAACAGGAUUUUUUCUAGUUUUUUAUCAUAACCACUAGCUUAAAAUAAAUAGGCCCCAACUGUGAAUAGGUAGGCCAGCCCAUUAAUGAUGUUUAAUUUGCUAGUGGUCAGGUCAGGGUUAGCAGCGUCUAGCAGCAAUACAAGCAAAGAAAAAUACUAAAGCAUAUUCCUACAAUUAUUUGUCACCAGAACCUGUCACUACUAUUCUGAUAAUUAAUACACCAAUUCAACUUGCUAUAGCAAACAUCUGUUUCUCAGUGAAAAGGGUUGGAACGUUUGUAGUUGGCUGCAUAAAACAUGCAGUUAGAGGCUUGCAGGUACAGUUGAGUUCUGAAUUGCCUACUUACCUUUAAGUAACUUGACAUAGUUGAUCUGAAAAUGAGUAACUAUAAAGAUAAAGGAGCAAUUGCAAGGCCUGAAAUUAGCCAUUCAUUUGUUUACAUAUUUCUCCAGUUCGCUUGGAAAAAUGGUGAUCCCUGUAGAUAAGACAAAAUCUGGGUAAAAGGUAAUUGCAAAUAGAAAAGAAAGAAAAUUCUGAUCAGACCAAAAUUCACAUCAGGAAAAACAAAGAAGCGAAAGAUAAUACACAAUCAUACAACUCACUAGAAAUUAGAAAACCCACAAUUUUCAUUCAUCUGUAAGGGUCUGAGCCUCUGAGGGUGUUACAAUUUGCAAGUAUGAAUGAGAUCAUUUUGUCUAGUGGAGUUGAAUGAGAUGUCUUUGUUUUAUUCAAAGCAUGGAACUGUCAGCAUGUGACUUAAGUAUGAAACAUAAUUUUUGCUUUUACUUGUAGAUAGAGUUGCCAGGAUGAGGAAAUGCUUUCUAUCAGGUCCAGUUUUGCAAACCCACCAUCCCACCCAACCCUGAAAAUCCCAUCCACAGAGAAGGAAUCCUGUCCUUCAUCAAACAAGCAGAGCUAUUUGUUUUCAGUUCAUUGAACCAAGACAUAAUUGCCCAAAAGUAAUGCUAAUUAUUUUCCGUCACUACAGUCUUGUAAAAAAAAACUCUUGAAUUAUAGCUAGGCUACACCAUUCUUCAUGAGCAGCCAAAGACAUGCAACAUGUAUAAUUGUAUCACAAUGAUUUGAGAGUAUCUUCCAGACACAAAUAGCUAGCUUUUUCUAGAUGUUUAAACAAAAUAUUUUGCACCUUUGUUAAAACUGUCAUGGCCCAGCUUCAUAAUGAUUCCAUUCAUAACAAGAAGAAUUUGCAUCCUAACCAGAAAGCAUAUGCAUCCUUUUUACAUAAUGAGAAAAUAAAUGUAAAACUGAACCAAGGAUCGACCAUUAUGGAAUGAUAACCUAAUUAGUUUCAGACAGUCUCAGAGCCCACUUUCAGAUAAACUGCUACAUAGAUAUAUCAAAGGACAAAUGUUAAGCAAAGCGAAACCACAGAAGUAUGAUGUUAUCUGCUCCUAUGAAACCCAUCUUUAGCGGCUUUUCUUCAUUAGAACAAAGAGAAUGGUACAAUGUAAAUGACCCAACUUCCCAGUGGGAAAAAGUAUAUUACAGAUAGACUGAGCUUUUGUUAAAAGAAACAAUGGGAUUAACCAUAAACCAUCUAGAAACUAAGAUCAACAACCAUUGAUACUUGAAGCAGAGCAUAUCAAACAUCAAACUAUGGCAGAUAAUGACUACACACUUUACAAGAACAGAACUAUGCCAACAAAGACAAGUCAUGUGUAAAUCAAUACCUUCAAGUAUAUCUUUAGCAAGGUCUGCCAGAUAAUGUUGCGGGCCAUAGCAUAUACUAGUGAGAUAUUUGCAAUAGGUGACACAACAAAUAGCCAAACUAAAAAUGCACUCUUUCUGUUCCUUUGUGAAAGAUGUAGGAUCAUGUGCAGAAAGAUUGGCAUAAUUUUCCUCCGGAAGGAGAGGCUGGUGUAUUGAUGUUCCAAGCCAACUGAAAUCUAUAGGAUUCUUGAUCUUUUCCAGGCAGGGUAAACCUUGGACUAGAAAUGACCAGCAAUGAAACGACAAAGAUAGCAUUUGUUUGCCAAACCCUUCACAAGUUGAUCUGAACUCAUUAUACUUCACUAAAUCAUGUUUUGCAGAACUUUCUGGACAUGAAGGAAAGGUGAACUUAGCCGCAGAUAAAUACUGCCUCAUCUCUCCCUUCAUAGAUUGAACAAGAAAAAACAAUGACUGCCCAGCACCUAUUAAAAAAUGCGACAGUGGCAUCAUAAAGGAACAUUCAGAUAAGAACAGAUGGUUCGUAGCUCCAGCAAGUACUAAUGAAUAAGCUGCUGCAGCUUUGGCCAUUCUAAUAAGAUCAUCACUUUUUUCUCCAUGCAAACUGCCUGUUUUUAAACUUAGGGCACGAAACCGGUAAGCAGAGGCAAGUGUCAUGUAAGCAGUGAAACAGAGAUGGUGAAGAGGGUGCAGUAUAUGUUUUCUCCCUCGAAGUUCCCCUUUCUGCAAAUCUCUCAUUAAGUUUUCAGAAAGCAUGCUUUCAAUCAUAUCACAACAAGCUUUGGCAUCAUCACCCAAUGAGUAUUCAGAUAUUGCUUGUUGCAAGUCAUCAUCCAAAUCCUCAACUGUUGGAGCUGCAACAGCAUCCUCUGGUUUAUUUAAGUCCCUAGCAUCACACUGAUAGAUAGUCAUGGAGAGAAGUGGUCAAGACAGUUUGUUUUUUUUUUGGCAAAAAGUGUAAGUGUUGACAACUAGGAACAUGUGCAAUAAGCUAAAAAUUCUAGUAAAAGUAUAAAAUGGGCUAAAUAAAACAUUGGUGUCACUAACUGGUGAAAGUAUUAUUAACUAUUUUCAGAGAAAUUUACAACACAGCAGCCAAGCUAUGGAAUUCAAUGGCAGUUUGCUAACAGUUUCCAUAACACUCCAUGACAAUGUGAUUGGAAAGUUUUAAUUGCUUGUGAACAUAGUGCCAACAAUAAAGGAAGCACAUGAAAAAUUGCAAAUAAAUUAUGAGAAUAUUUUAUCCCAGAUUGCAUUCUUACAUUCAAAAUAAGAUCCACAUAAGGUUCUGGUGAUGCUAUACAACGAUUGCAAGAACAAAUGAAUUUAUACUUUAACCACAGAUCCGAAUGCCUUGCUUCCUGGAAAGAGAUGUUAUGAGCAUGACAAGAUAAGUGAAUAAAGAAUGAAAUGCAACCAGUAGAAAAACUUCUUUUCCUCUUUAUUGACAUUGUAUGUUGGACCUCGGAUUGGUAACUACUGAUAAUUUUAACCAAGCUUUACUAAAACAAUUAAUAUGCAUUAACUAAUCAUUAGUGGAAAACACUAGUGAUGUGUAUGCCAGCAUACACCAAAACAUCAAAAGAAAAAAGGCUAGCCCAAAUUUUGUUUUCCUCUGUGAAAGUGGGGAGAAUUUGAAGACAAAUCGACAACUUUGUUUUUGCACACGCAAAAGCCUUGUCUUUAUAGAACAGAUGCAAAGAAACAUUAAGUUUUACACCACAUAGCAGGCCGAAGUGACUGCUAUGAAGUUAAAGACGAAUCUGGGAAAAAUGCUUAAACUAGUAUGCAACAAAGUUUAACAUGACAUGAGAAUUUGCAAAUGCAGAAUACAUUAGUAAGCAGGUAUGAUUGUUCAAGUCAAUAUAUAUCUUUUGCAUCAGCAGUGCAUGACUAAUAAGAGCGCCAUAUCGAAUAUUAACAACAGUGGCUCACAAGAAACCACAAUAACAAAAUUGAGUAAUAGUGUUAUAUGCUUGAAUUGGUGAAAUAUCAGGUGCACAAGAGUAAUACCGGUGAACAUAUGCACAAACUAAAUCUCCUCCCUCGGAUCCAAUCUGAAUGGCCCAAGUGACAGGUGGAAAUCACCCCAUCCCCUUGUCCACCUUUUAAUUGGACAAUCUAAUUGGGCCCUAUGUUAGCCCAAAAGGGAUAAGAGAACUUCCACCUCCCAUGUAGGCCUCUCAGAUUAGGUUCAAGAAACAUUAUUGAGUUUGUGCAUGUGUUCACCAAUAUACUCCUGUCCAUCUGAUAUUUACCCUUGAUAAUUUUGUUAAACAUGGAAUAACAGCAGUCACCAUAUCAAAAUGAAUUAGUUACGGGCCACCAACGUUCUAAAAUUAAGCACAAAAAGAAUAAUGUAUGGCCAUCUAAGAAACUAAAUACCGGUGCAACUAAAAGUCACCCAAAUAGCACACAUUACAAUGCAUUGCACAAGUUAACCUUGAUUAAAUUCUUCAAAAGAAUAAUGUAUGUUCAUCUAAUAUUUGAUCCUGAAUAUAUGAUAGUGACUGACUUAAUGUGUUGGUAAAUUGCAAAUAUGGGUUCAGCAAAAUUCGACAAAAAGUACCUUGGUCUGGAGAAGAUCAAUGUAUGUUAUGCAAACUUCAUCUCCCUUGAUAAUUGGUUUUGUGCAACGAACAACAACUCUGGGACCAUAUUUGCAGAGUGCUAGGAAAUAAUUAGUGAGAAAAAGUUUAGAAUGAUGCAUUCAUAUAUUGCAACAUAGUCAAAAAUAAUGAAAUACCUUUGGUAGAAUUUGCUUCCUCAUACUGCCAAGUAUGCCACUGGAACCAAUAACAAACGCAAUGAUUCAAUGUACAAUAAUAAAGUAAUAGCUCAAGUAAAGAAAAUAAGUGCUUUCCUAGAAGCUAGAAACCAUGCAGCCAAACUAUUCAAUUUUCAUAUAAUUAGUAUCUUUGCAAAUACUUGGAUCUAACGAACAAAAAUAACAGAAUUAGAUCUUACUCAAAAGAUACUUUCACGAUACUUUAUUUUAUCUGGCUUUAUGAAUAUAUUACAACAGACUGAUGGCCAAAGGUGUGUAAGGGAUCCAUGUCCAAAAGGACACUUACAGUGAUGAGUGACCUGAGUAUAAGCAUUCGAUUAUAUUCUCUUAGUAUAUGAUGCAAGCAAAAGUUCAUCAGGUACUAAACAAAAUGGUAAUCAGUUUCCUUUACCACAUCAGCUGCAACUCCUUUGCUAGCAGGGACUGCCCAUGAUUUUGAUUUGUGUGAAAUACAGUCUUCAUUCUUUGGAGCCAAUACAAACCGGUACGAAGCAUUGGGAAAGCAGCUAUGGUUGAACCAUGAGAAACUUGGGCCAUACACAGAAAUUCCCAUUGCCAUCCCUUCACUAAGCUGUACCUCAACACUAUUUGUAAUCACUGCCCAUAAUGCCAUCCUCUCAACUUUAAGCCCAUCGGAGAAGCUAACAUAAGUCUCUGCCCUUGAUUUUCUAGCAGAUGACAUCAAUAAGCUCCCCUCCAAUAUCCUCUCAGCAAUCUGUUCCCCUUCCUCCAGAGCUUCUUCAAUUCCACUUGCUGAAAGUCCACCAAUUCUACUGAAGCGGUUGAUUUGAUCAGAUGAAACAAGACCGUGCAUCUCAAGCGCAUAAAGAAGGCGGAGUGCAGCACGCAAAUCACUUGUUCCUUCAGUAACAUAGUUAGGGGAGGCUCUCUUGAGGUGCUCCACAAAGAAGCAACAUUCACCAGAAGAAUAAUGCACCAGUGAAUCUGAGCUUAAGCACUCUGAGCAGCAGUAUCGAACAGAGCAGCAUGUAGUGCAAGACAUGACACAGGGAGAUUGUGGCGGUAAUUCGCUGAAGCAUGAUGAGCAAUGGGAGUGGAGGAACACGUCAUGUAGGGCGAUGGCGUAUGGUGCGAUUGCCCCAGUUAGGUCCUCCGACAUGUUUACAGAUUCCCGAGCCCUCAUCUCCAUUGCCAUGCUUCGAAGCUUCCUGACCUGUUACGAGGUUCUGUCUGCAAAUAGCAUAAAAAUGAAAACUUUAAACAAAGAACAGAACUUGGUAUUUUCUUUAUUUCUCUUUUUAUUUCUCCUUUGAAGUAAGUUGUUUCCACCUGAACAUCAAUCUUGUGCACUCACGCUUAUCAGACUUAAUUCAGGCCCAACAACUUGAGAAGAUAGCCCAAUGCUUAUCAAAAGUGAACUACUUGAUGUCUUGAUCCAAAAGUAAGCUAACUACGCUAACUGAUGCAGUGAUGCUACAACCACCCCAAACACGCGUAAAAUAAAUUCCAACUUUUUUCCUCCAAAAUCCAUAGAUUCAGCGAAAGAGGAACUGAAGCAAACUAGAUCAGGCAAACCACUACAGCAUCUAUAAGCAGCGGUUGUGUACCAAAAACUGAUAAAUGCACAGCUGAUUUUUGUCCCAAUCCACCAAUGGCGUCGCUAACUAACUUAGGUCUAGAAACACCAAACCCUUUCCCUAACUAACUUGGGAGAGGCUCUACUUGCCUUUGAUCGAACGCAGCACCAGCACCGUCCACGGACGAGUCUGCGACGGAGGCGGAUGUCAGGAUGUGUAGAGGAGAGAGGAGAGGGACCAAGGUAGCGGCGGCCGCAACCCCCUUGUCGGCCGCAGACUAGCAGUCUCGUUGGAGAGACGGAGACGAGAGAAGAUGGGCCGCGAGAGAAGCUGGGCCACAGCCCAUCUAAAUUUCAGAGAAGCUGGGCCACAGCCAGUCUAAUUUCUAUUAUUUGUACGGCCCAUCUAGUUCUGGUCAUGGGUAAACUAGGCCCGACGAGCCCGAGCCCGACCAUGAUCUGGGCUGGAUGUGAUCCUCGCAGCCACAACACUAACGAGAUGUCUAAAUUCAAAAACACAAAUGCGCAGCAAAUUCAAAUCAAAAUUUGACAUAUAUAAUAUAUAAAUAUAAACACAUGUUACUUUAGAAUAUUGACAUUAAUUUGGCAAGGGCCGCGCGAACGCGUACCCCCUCUUCCACAAAUUAUGACGUCCACUCUCCCGUUUAGGAAGAUGGUAAGCCAAUGCUCCUCCCAAGUGCAAUGGAGGCCAUUGAUUUAGGCCAUAGCUCUUCUUGAUCGGCUAUCGACCCCGUCCAGGUAAGUGAGUUUGAAGGUGCCCCUUGGUAUUGCUUUAUUGCUCCCCAGCAUCUUCUCCCGGUUUCGUUAGCCGAUGCGGUACUAUUGCGUCCGCUAAACCGGUGGUCUGCGCCUUGUACUAAUUGCGCGGUCAGGACUCAUGGUGUUCGUAUUGGACUCGGCCUAUAUCUGCAACUCUGUCAAGGCCCAAGCUAUCCCGGCCCGGACGAGCAGCACAAGGGGCCGUUCUGUCCGGCCCAGGUAGAAAUUUGUGAGUGAACCUAGCCAACCCACACGGCCGCAUUUUUUUUAUGUGCUUUUAGUCUGUUUAUAAACAAGUUUCCAUCAACAAAGACGUGCAAUCUCAACCUACAGAAACCAACGGUACAGCACAGGAAUUCAGCUUACUUUCAGAUUCAGGGGCUUCCAACAAAACUUCAAAUCAACCGUCGCUGGUCAUUGUGAAAGCAAUGAGAAUGCAGGACAAGGUGAAGAUGAUCGUCCCUGCGGCGAAGUCCAGGAUAGCCCUCUGGACUUAUAAGCCGGCUGAAAAGCUGAAACGGCUGAUUUGUUGUGAGAGAAAAAUACUGUUCGGUGGCUGAUAAGCCGAAGCGAACAGAGACCCUGCUUUUCCUGACCAGCCAGCUCAACGUCUUUUAGCAGGCCCCUGCUUGUCCGAGUCCUUGGCGGCAUGGACCAGCCUGCUUUGGACCUCAUCAAGCUUGGCCAGCCAUCUGGCUCGGCUGGCAUCUCAGACGGACCAGAUGAAGCCCGUCAUCCUCCACAGCAGGACGCCUACGUAGAUCGCCACGAUGCAGUCCACGCUGUAGUGGUGUCGCUCACGUAUCUCCCUUUGCGUGCUGUGCAGGAUGAGGAGCCAUAUCACGACGGAGAUCCAGCCCCCAUAUGCUUCCUGUGAGCGUGAAACAGAUGGAAAUGGAGUUGGUAUGACUUGAAAUUUAGAAGUGGUUAAUAUGAUAUGUGAGGAAAGGUAGUAGACAGAUCAGAAUGAAUUGGUGGCCUUUGAAAGGUAGUUUGGUUUCUAAUACAAGAGGACAUAUGGAAAGUGUAGCACAUACCGUCCAUGCCAUUGCAGUAAGAACAGCAACAAGCAUGUGUCCACUGUACAUAAGGUCAUUGCAACCACCACUAGCUUUCUUCAACAGAUGGUACCAUGAUGGACCUUCUCCAGGAAUCGGUCUCAAAAUAUCUACCAGGAAGCUCAUCCGUCCCCAGUCAGGCCUAUAUUCAUCUGGAUAAGCUUGAACAGCAGCUGUAAAAGUAUAUAAGAAUACUUUAGUCUCCACCACCGUACAAAACUGAAUAACUGAUAUACCUGUUAGGUGAUAUGACAAAUGAACUAACCAUAUGCCAUGUCAUGUGUUAUGACUCUACGAAUAGCAUUUGAAUCAGAAGCAUAUGGAACAUAGUAUUUUUGUGCCCAAGGAUGAGGAUGCUGAGGUAUUUGAUAACGAGCUGCAGCACACCAUGGUCUUGCAGAUGGAAGAAUAGUAGCAAUGAAUGUUAUUGUCCGAAGAAAACGACCAAUUGCCAUAGUGAACAUAUAUCUUGUGGCUAUACCAAGACCAGGAGCUUUGAUGCAGUCAAACAGAACUGAGAACCCCAGCAUGAUAAACAACAUCAAAUAAUGGUGAAGAGUGAUAACAUGAGCUGAGUAGAUUGACAAUGCUUUGAGGGAGCUUCUCGUUCAGUGAUAGAAGCAGCCAUUGACCAGUGUCAGGAAGCGGUGCAGCAGAUCUGUUAAAACCAGCAGACUUUAGUUUACAAGAAUUUCUGUAGAUUUAGAAUUCAAGUAUGUAUAUGUGGACCAGGAGUGAGUGCACACAACUAAACUACAUAGAGAAGGUCGAAGUUGAAAAAGGCAGUAUUGCUACUGUCUCCUUAUCAGUGGGAAGCCAAGCUCUGUCCUCUUGGGGUCCUCUUGAGUGGAGCUCUUAUCUGACUAGAAAGCCAUUCAAAACUUUAUCGAAGAACCAGCGUUUAUCGAAGAAGCCAGUUUAUAACCCCUAAACAAAAUAGGAAGAGGAGUACUUCACUAUACAGAGGCUGGGUUGUGUUCACAAAGUAUCAUAAAUGCAAUAAUAAAUUACAAUUAGAUGUAAACCAUGGCCAAAUAAACUAGUAAAUGUGAGAAUCCCAUCAAAACAGAGUUGUCUGAAUUUAUUACAUGUAUUCUUGCUAGCAUAGGACUAAACUGUGUUGGGUUAGAUUUUGAGAGCAAUGCAUAUGCCUAAGGAAUCUACUAAGCCCCAAGCUCUAGUGAUGAUUAUGCCUUCCUUACCCACUAAACCUCUUGAUGCUCCUAGUAUAUCCCAAAGAUAAUUGAUGCUUUACUUGAACUUUAAUCUUUUUAGAGUGCCAAUUGCCGUUAAAUCAGAACAGGAUCAAGCAGUCAGUUAUCACACACUCACAAUAUCAGCAGACUUAAUCUAGCUAGUCAAUAGCAACAAUGAAUCAACAAGGUUCCAUUUAAACAAUUGCACAGACGCCUAUCACCACGAAUGCUACUUUCUGCUGCAAUCAGCCUAUUGAUGUGUAAUCCUAGACAAUAUUUUGAGCACGUUAUCUUCUAUACCAAUACUUUGAGCAGUUUAAAUCUCAGCCUCGCAGCUUCAACUAUUUCGCACACUCACUAACAAAACCCCCUAAAGCUCGCCAAUACAAGCAAAACUCUGCAAGAUCACACCAUAUUUCCACGAAUAACUCUAAACCCGUAUGUUUCAACACGACCUACCAAAACAAAGUUUGCAGCUCAAAAGCUAAAAUCUCUCCGAAAUCCAGCGAGCCUUGGCCCCCAAAGCACCUCAAUAGGUGAGGAAAACGAUGACACGCCGGCUGCGCCCCGGUUCCCCAGAAAGACAAGAAGCACCGACCUGUGCCACUGGAGCGCCAUUACGGCGGAGACGAAGCGGACGGAGAUGGCUUCGCAGAGGAAGGCGGCGAGCAUGAAGGCGAUGGAUCCCAGGAAGGGCAGCGCGGCGCGCAGCUCGGCGGACAAGUGGCGAUAGAACGGGGCGCGCGCGGCCGCCGCCAGCGCCGCCCAGAGCGCAGGCUGCAGCCGGUCGUGCCACGCCGGCGAGAGGUCCACGCCCACGUACGCCAGCACCGCGAUGCCCAGCCCGCCGAAGCCGAGGAGCCGCCGGGUCGAGGCCUGCGGCGGCUUCGGCCUCGGUGCCCUCGCCUUCGCCAUGGCCGGAUCGCCCGCGAGGGUCGUCGAGAGGUCACUUGGUCAUGGACUGGUGUCUAGGCAUGCGAGUGGUUCUAGUCGACUGAUUAAUUACGAUGACUAUAUUUAUCCUCCCAAAUUAUUUAUUUAUAUAGAAUACUAUUUUAGUUUAUUUUAUCAACUUUUUUAUCGAUUAAAUGAACCAUGACCGGACACCGGAGUCGGGGACGCUCAAAGCUAGGAGCUCCGACCUCCGAGUGCUAUGUUGGGCUUGGGUGGGCUCGGGCCCGAGCCUACACAACCCAAAACUAGAUUUUACGGGCUUUCUUGGUCACAUUGCAUCGAUUAUUUGAGCACCACAAGAUGGUUUCAAAUAAAAAAGUUUGAAUCGUAGAUUUCAUUGAAAUCGACAAUUACCGUUUAUCUUCGUCCGAGUUCACAUGAAAAGAUUAUGAUUUUUUAAGAUAUGUGCUGCUCAAAGAAGGAAAAUUUCGCCAAUUUAAUUAGGUGUAGGGUGGUCUAAGUUAAAUUCCGCUGUUUCAAUUAGCUAUAGCGAUAUAGAAUUGUAAUUUUUUAAGAAUAUAUGUUUUUGCAAAACACUAAAAUAAAAAAAUAAAAAAGAAAAAAUUCGACGGGCAUAGACGCUCUUGCACUCGACAUCAGCUGCUUCCAAGCUCCUGCCCGUGCUUUAGGCCUGCCACUGGAGAGGGUACGGGCAAACCUACUCUUGUUCACACCCAAAUUCAAAUAAUUAUCAUCUACUCCUUACCCUCCUCAAUCCCAUUCAUAUCCAAUAGAUAAUUAACUUUGUGCUACGUAUGUAUACUUAUCCAAUUAAUUAAUUAUGUCCUUCCGAUACCCUACCCUCUCUAUUUAUACCUGUACCCCUCAAUUGAUAAUUGAUUAAUAGAGAGGGUACGGAUACCCAGCGGUGGGCCUACCGUGCUUUGGGCGGCAGGCCUCGUCCGUCGUCGUCGUCGGUCGGCCGGUGGGCCUCGCCGCGCGUUCGUUGGUGGUCUGGGCUCCUCCUGCUGUGUUGUCAGGCCCAACCCCAACAGCCGUUUCUGUUGGUGGGCUGGCCCAUCAAGAGCCCAACUCCGUAGCCAUCAGCAUCGCUGCUGCUUGUGCUUCUCCGGUUCUCCCCAAGCUCCGGCCGUUUCCAGACUUGCAGCCGCGCCUGCGCCGUCUCUCUCGGUCUCACUCCCAUAAACCCCCAAAACCUCUCCCGGCGGCGCCCCCAGCCCGCCCCCCCCAAUGGCGGUGGAGAAAUCCGGCGGCGCUGCCGCCUCCUCCUCCUCCUCCACCGCCGCCAUGGACCGCUUCCAGAAGAUCGUCCUCAGCUGGGACUACCUCCGCCUCGUCGCCGAAUCCAAGGUACACGCAUCGACCCCGCCCACGCCCACGCCCACAUCCACCUGCCCGCCGAACCACCCGUAACGACGAGCUUAUCAAAAACCCUAACCUUCUCUUGCUUUGGGGCAGGGCGGCAAGCAGGCGAAGGGGCUGCAGCGCGUGAAGGACACGUACAAGUCGGUGGCCGACUACCUCGGCGUCUUCGAGCCGCUGCUCUUCGAGGAGGUCAAGGCGCAGAUCGUCCGGGGGCGCAGCGACGAGGAGGAAGAAGGUAAGGGCGCGGGCGCCUGGGCUGCGCUGCGCUUCUCUCUCGCCGCCGCCCGUUGUUUGCUCUGAUUUCGCUGGUGGGUUUGUUAAUUUGGAUUCUUAAUUCGUGGCUUUGCCUCGUGUGGGUGUAUGCAGAUGCUGGGCUCGACUGGCAGAGGGUGGCGGUGGGCUUGUGCGCGGAAUCCGAGGGGUUCCAUAAGUUCUCCAUGGCGGUGGAGAACGAUUUUCGGGAGAAUGUGGGGGAGAAUGACCUAGUGCUGCUCUCCAAGGAGAAAGUAAGUGCUGUGCAAGUAAAUUCGGCAGUUUAGCUGGUCCUUUUAUGCAAGCAUCAAGGUACUAACUACUGACAAUUUGAUGGGAGGAAAUGUCUCGUAAGUCAAACUAUUUUGUUAUAUAAAGUCAAAACUAUUGUUUUGUAGGUGGCUAUGUGCAUAAUAGUUGAAAAAUCGUAAACCAGGCAUUCUCUAGAUUUGUGUUCCUUAGGGGCAGUAUUACCUUUAGGUACUUAGUUCUUACCUUUUGGGCAUUUUUUUCUAGGAACAGAGCAAAAUGUGCCAUAAGUUAUGUGCAGUGCUUACUCAUAUGAUGAACUGGUGAAUUGCCAAGUACAUGUAUUAUACUCAUGAUGAACUGGUUGUGCCUGCACUUUUGCAGUUUGAGGAGGGAGUGACCCCUACUGCGUACGCCUUUGCAUUGGUGGAACAGCGUGGUGGUAGUGCAACUAUUUCUCUUAGAGCUUUUCUGGCAGGCGAAAUUCAAAAUCUGAAUGUUUCCAAGCCUGUGAACGCUCCAAGGCUGCAGCGUUUUGCUUCCAUUUUGGCAGCUGAGAGCAGCACCCUGUGGAUAUUGAAGGUGUGUCAAAAUUGUUCUGAGACAAGCUCCUGAGUUUUCAUGCCAGCAUUGUUUAUUGACAGCAUGUACUACUUGAUUUGGCAUUUUCUGGUAAAAAUUUUCAGGUCUGCAGCUUGUCAACUAUAAUGCGGGAGUUCACAGCUAUGCAUUCUGUAGCUUCUCUUCCUUUUAAGGACUCGAUUCUUUCAGCUGCUGAGAAGCAUAAGGAUGGUGAUGAUCAAAGUCGUGCGUGGAAUGUCCCUCAGCCACUUAUGGAUCACCUCAAAGCAAAUCUUAAUGAUUCACAGCUAGAGGCAGUCAAUGUGAGCAUCCUUUGUCAUUUUUGGUAUUGUUCAUAUAUCUAUUGUAUCUAAUAUCUGUUUUAAAGGCUGCGACUCUGAUAUAUUACUGUACUGUCUCUAGGCAGGUCUUUCGCGCAGAUCAUUUGUUCUUAUUCAGGUUUGUUAUGUUUUCACUACUACCAUUGAAUUUGCAUUGUUAUUGUUUACCUACCUUGGUUAUGAAAGUACUGUAAUUAUCUUAGCAGUCUUUAGAUAUUUGUUUUUUGUUUAGAAGGCUAUGCAGAUACAACACAUUACACUACUUAGUUUUUGUCCUAGGACACAUUAAGGAGUUAAGAGUAAUGUGCAAUUUACUGAUUUAUGUACUUGUAACUGUUGAUUUGCAGGGUCCUCCAGGAACUGGAAAGACUCAAACUAUCCUUGGACUCCUCAGUGCUGUUCUCCAUUCUGCUCCUGCAAGAAUGAAGACAAAGUAACAAAAUACUUGUUUAUUCGUUUUUCAGUGUAUGGAAUAGUAAUUCUAUUUUUGAGGAUAGAUAAAUCAUCAUGUUUAAAAAAUGAGAGGAGAUAGAACUGAAAUAUGAAGUUUGACUGAAUUUUUUGAAAGCAUAUCCACCCUUUUUUUUUCCCUCUGCACAUUCUUCAUUCAUAGCUAAACUUGGCACAUGCAUCUUGUAUUCUUUUUGAUCCUGUAAUGCAGAGGAGGAUUUGAUGUUCAAAGGCAUGGACCAGAGCUGGACAUUGAUGGCAAGUAUGUUGAAAAUUGCAGAUUUCCUAGUUAAUUUCUGUCAUAUUUAUUUCGACUUUUGGCAUCGAAAUUGGGAGCAUAAAAAGCUGAGUAAGAAUGUCUAACAGCCUCAAUAUUAUUAGUUUUCCUUGCAGUUUUGAAAUGCUCCAUCCUUAACUUAUUUUUCUUAUAGUUCUGCAUGGUUGUUUAAGUCACUAGAAAUUCCUUAGUUUUUGACAUUUCUCUUAUUUUUUGGAUAUCUUAAAUCCACUAAAUGGAACUAGGCCUUGUUGGAAGGAUAUGACUAUUGUUACUUUACACAUGACACCAUCUUCUGUAACCAUCUUUAAUAUCUAACUGGUGCUAUAUGGAAACUGAUAAGAAUAUGAUUUUUCAGUAUACUACUGGUUCCAUUUUUACAUGCACAGUACUACUGCAAUUUUUUCUUGGUGCUAAUAUUGUGAAUUUCACAUGACAGGUAUGCACACUGGGUAAAAGCAUCUCCUUGGUUACUUGGUGCAAACCCUAGAGAUUUGAUUAUGCCUGUCGAUGGUGAUGAUGGUUUUUACCCCACUGGAAAUGAACUGGUACUCUUCUGUUCUGUGUACUUGCUAAAAUUGGUCCUGGUGCCUUGAUUAUUUUACCCCUUACAAGGCAAAAAAAAUUCUUUAUAGAAACCUGAAGUUGUAAGUUCCAGUCGCAAGUAUCGGGCCCAUGUGUUGGUCUGUGCUCCAUCCAACUCAGCACUCGAUGAGAUUGUGUUACGUGUUCUUAACACAGGUAAAUGUUUCGGUGCUAAGUUAUCCAAUACAUAUACUAUGCUCCCAAAACCUUUUUCACUUUUUGCAUCUUAUGCAUUUUGUCACUAAGUGGACUAUACCAUUAGCAUGCAUUAUUUUUUUGCUCACAAAUCAUUAGGAUGCAUCAUGAGCAAAUUAAGAAAUGAAAUAAUGCUUCGUUUUUUAGGAAUUCGAGAUGAAAAUAACAACACUUACAACCCUAAAAUUGUGCGCAUUGGAGUGAAGGCACAUCAUUCUGUUAAAGCAGUUUCUAUGGAUUACCUGGUACGUGAUUUAAGCUGCAAAGCAUUUUCUGUCUAACUUAACUUCUAGCAACUACAAUGAGUCCAUGCCUUUGCAGAUACAACAAAAACUUUCUGGUGUAGAUCGCACAUUAGAUGGUGGGAGACGAGGGGCUGGCGAAUAUGAUCGGAUUAGAGCUUCAAUACUGGACGAAGCGGCCAUUGUACGUCAUCUGCUAUUGUAGUAGUAGAGUUUAUCUAUUAUAAUUUGUUCUCAUUGUGAAGCAAAAUUUGUAGGUAUUUUCUACUCUGAGUUUCAGUGGAUCAUCAAUUUUCAGCAGGAUGAGCCGUGCUUUUGAUGUUGUUAUAAUUGAUGAAGCUGCACAAGCAGUGAGGAUAUCUUUUAAACGUUGCUUUUAUUAUGGAGCAUUUACAUUAUUAACUGGGAUAUUGGCAUAUCCUCUAAGCCUCUAUUUUAAGUAAUAUUUCUGAACUUUACCUUAUAUUCUUGUUUUUCAGGUGGAACCUGCAACUCUUAUACCCUUGGUCCAUGGGUGCAGACAAAUUUUUCUUGUAUGUUGUCCACUUUCGCAUUUGUUUCUACACAUUUUUUUCUUUUCUUUAAGCAUUUCGCUCCCCCUUAUGCAAUAUGUAUAUUAUUCAUUGGUACAGUACCUUAUUAUACGAUAGAAGUCAGGCACCGCACAUGAUAUUUUGAAUAUAUCCUCUUCUCAGGGUUGUAGUACAUAUAGGAACAUUUCUCUCUCUGGGCUUAUGUCCACAUCAUGCUUUCAUUUCUUUGGUGUGCGUGUGUCCAGUCUCACCAUUUUGCUCAAUUUCUAUCACUUAAAAAGUGUUAUAUUAGUAUCUUGGCUCAUGAGUGCACUGACUAUAGCUUUCGUUAGUGAUUCACUAUAGCAUUCACUGUCUCUCCUAAUAUCCUAAUCAGGUUGGUGACCCAGUUCAGUUGCCCGCAACAGUCAUUUCAUCAACUGCUCAGAAAUUGGGGUAAGAUGAUCCUUAUUUUCUUUAUACUGUUCCAAAUUGUUCAGGUGCUGUAAUUGCUAAGGUGAUGCUCUUUUUAUCUGUUAGAUAUGGAACAAGCUUGUUCAAAAGAUUUCAAGGUGCUGGUUUUCCAGUGCAAAUGCUUAAAAUUCAGUAUCGCAUGCAUCCAGAGGUAAAUCUCCCAUCCUCAGCAGCUCAAUCUUUCUUAAGCCGGAAACUGGAAUGGUUUUUGUAAUUCAUUAUUCACUCAAACAGAUUAGUAUCUUCCCUUCAAAAGAAUUUUAUGAAGGGGUACUACAAGAUGGAGAGGGUCUCAGCAAGAAACGCCCAUGGCAUUCCUACACCUGCUUCGGACCAUUUUGUUUCUUUGAUGUUGAUGGUGUUGAAUCCCAGCCACCUGGAAGUGGUUCUUGGGUGAAUCAGGAUGAAGUGGAAUUUAUAACUCUCCUAUAUCAUCAACUGGCAAUGCGCUAUCCAGAACUCAAAUCUAGUUCUGAAGUGGCUGUGAUAUCACCGUACAGGCAGCAGAUGAAAUUAUUGAGGGACAAUUUUCGGUUGACCUUUGGGGAUCAAUCAAAGGAAGUGAUAGAUGUAAACACUGUUGAUGGAUUCCAGGUAACAAACUCAUAUGUAUUUCAUGAAUGGAAUUUCUUUACUUGUCGGCUCUGUGCCUCGUAUAUUCUUGCAAGUAUCAGUGAUGUUGUAUCUCACUGGUUGUAUUUAGGGCCGUGAAAGAGAGGUAGUCAUUUUUACAUGCGUAAGAUGCAACAAGGAGCAAAAAAUUGGGUUUGUUUCUGAUUUUCGGCGAAUGAAUGUUGCCAUCACAAGAGCUAGGUCUGCUGUACUGGUAACUGCCUCUUCUCCAAGCUUUAAACUUUUUUUCUUUAAUAUUUUGUUUUGCACUAUCUGCAGACUGCAGUAACAUUGGUACCAUCUUAUGCAUGAUACUCAUGGCAAGUCUGCACUCAAGGUCUCAACUCAGAGAUAUUAGCAGGUUAUAAAUGUAAUAAUUAAGGAGCUAGGAGGUUACAAAUUUAAUUAUUAAAGGUUACAGUUUAAUAAUUAAGGAGCUAUGUGGCCUAACAAGAUAUAUACAGAAUGGUCCAGAUUCUCUUGCAUGCAUCCAUACAUGUAUAAGCAGCUUGUUCAAGGAUGCUGUUUAAUUGUUCAUGGUUGCAUCCAUCUUCAAGAUUUAGCUGACAUUUAGAAACCCACUUUCUUUGCUCAUGUUUUGUUAUACACUUACACUUGGGUCGUUUACUUGUAAUUCCAAAUAUUAAUCUGCAUACCACAGGUUGUAGGUUCCGCUUCAACCCUGCAGAAAGAUGAGCACUGGAACAAUCUUGUCGAGAGUGCCAAAGAGCGAAACCGCUACUUCAAGGUGCGAUUGCGAUGGGCUACUCUUGUUUCUCAGCUUGAAAGAGCAAAAACAUCUGGAUGAAUCCAAAUUUUGCAUAUCUUGCAGGUUCCCAAGCCAUUCGGUGCAUUCUUUGCUGAGGAUAACCUGGAGACCAUGGCGGUGAAACCACAGAAGGAUCCUCGUCCUCCUGAGCAGAAUACUGAAGUGAUGGAAGGAAUGAAUGAAGCAGCGAUGGGGCGGGAGUUUGAUGCUGCCGACCAAGCAGAUGCAGGGGAUGACGACGAUGCUGAUAUGGAUGCUGAUGAUGGAGGUGGCGAUGACUGAUUGUAGGAUGCCAUAGAGGUGUGGCCUGGGAUAGAGCAAUUGUGUUAGAGAACUGGUACAUAUAAAGGAUAUUAGGGUUUUCUUGGGUGGAUAUGGAUGUUGACGAGGCUUGAAAACAGAAAUUUGGAGCAGCUAUUCUUUUUGUCUUAAUCCAAUUUUGGGAGGAAGAGAUGUCCGGAUGCUUAAGUUACACUACGAACAUUACUCGUUUAUGAGACUGUAGACGUGUCAGAUACAUCUUUCUUGCGUACGUUUUCCACGUCGCAUUUGUGCACCUCAGAAAUCAGUUUGCCAUGCCUUAGAGAAAUAAUACAAGUUUAUUUUGAGGAAGCAGAAUGGCAGGCGUCACGUGCCGCUGCACCUGCACAUGUAACCGUGAGUCAUGACCUUAAAAGGGAGUCAAGAGUGUCCAUCAGCCAAACAACAGAAUUUAAGCACACAGACAACAAGUGGCGGCGCUCUCGUGAGUGAUGAUGUUUUUGAGUAUGAGGUGAAGAGUGUUUUGUGGGAUUGGGAGGCACCGGAAUUCCUGGCUGUAGAAGGCGGUACUGAGCCACUGUCCAUUAACCCAUGCUAACCUGCAGUUCCAUUGGAUGAGACGAUAGACAGGUGCCAGUACUCCGAUAGACAUCUCUAGGCUGUGACACCAAAUCACAACUACGGAGACGUUGGCUUCCCCUUCCUUACGCCGCUGCUCCAUGUAGCAUUGGAAUUGAUUGUUCUUUUAGAUGGACAGGCAUGAUGGGUCUUCACCUUCAGCUUCUUUACGCCAAGUCGAUACCCAAAUGGGAGGACCCCCUCCAGAUAGUCGCACCACCAUUGGCCGGCGCUCUCCUCCAACGAACCUUUGCGCAUUGGCCUCCAUGCCAUCGAGCAUUUCCAUAUCCUCCUGAUCACCAUUGUUAUGUCCUUCCAGCUCUGUUUAUGAAAAUCAUGUCAUUACGAAUUAGCCAAUGGAUUGUGUCCUUGUUAUCCGGAACCCCUAGCUAAUGCUAUUUUACUUUUGCAACCGUCAUAAUUAAUGUGUAAGGUCACGCCCUGCUUUUAUCCCAGAUUCACGGUUCAACAACCUGUUCAAUGCCAAAUGUCUCCAUGGCUCCCAAGAGUAUGGGGAAGCAAGAGCUCUGCCCAAUCACUACUAGAAAGAAAUACUAGAAAUAUGAACAUUUGUCCUUAACGUCAGUACCGGACAGCUUUUCAUCCGGUACUAACGGGCGAAAUUAGUACUGGUAUAAUUUCUCGAUCCUCGGAGGUUUUAGUACCGGUCAGUGUUAUUACCCAGUACUAAAAGGCCUCGACCAUUUAGUAUCGAGCAAUAAUACCAGUACCCCGUAAAGUACCAUUUAGUACCGGUCAAUAACACCAAUCAGUACUAAACAUUUAAUACCGAUAGGCCUCUCCACGGGUUACCUCAAAAGGAAAAUAUUACCGGUCAGGCGUCCGGUAAUAAAGGGUUACUGACCGGUACUAAAAGUCACUUCCCAGCAGUGAAUGGUGGAGCUAGAAAAAAAAUAUGCACCAAUUCACACCGCAUGUACAUUACUAUGGUAGAAAAAAAUGUAGCACAAAAUUAAAGGAGUAAUAACACAACCUCAAAUUUGAAGAACAAAUUUGCAAAUACGCUAUACAUUGUAAAAUACAAAACAUAUUGCGGAUCGUCUGAUAUUGCUUUGUGUAGUACUGCCAGCUGCCGCUCCUCCUCUAUGUGCUCGCAGCUCGCGCAGUCGGCCGCCAACACUACUGCCGCGCUUCAAGACCUUAGAAGGGAGUCAAGACUGUCCAUCAGCCAAGCAACAGAAUGAGCGCGCACAAACAAAAAAGCGUGGAUGAGCCAAGACGCCGUUGUGCAUGAGGUGAAGAGUGUGUAUCAUGGGAUUGGGAGGUAUUGGAAUGCCUGGCUAUACAGUACUGAUCCGAGCUAGCCACUGCCUGCCAUGCCCAUGUUAAUUUGUAGCCUCGUUCGAGGGAUCGGCAUCGAGAAGCAUUCCGUGGGCCGUGACAACACGCUUCCCAUUCGUUGCGUUGCACUGCUCCGCAUCGCGUCGACAUUGAUCAUGUCCUCUGUUCUCGGGGCUUGCACAAGCGCUCAACCCUCCGUCAGUCGCAGGAUUGGGACGGAGUAAGCUGCCGCCCUGCUUCAUCCCCGAUUCCGGUUCGACAAGCUGUCCCCCAAAUAUUGCACAGUAACUACCUCACCGUCCGAUUAGGAAUAGGUGCACCGAGAGUUUGUCGGCGGUUCCAGAAAAGCAUAUAAAAAAACAUGUUGGGGACGGGCGGACGGCUAAUUAAUUCUGGCUCAUGGUUUGUCGUUUCCAAAACAAAAUACUUCCGUCGGAACGAAUGUGAGCUACUCCGCAGUAACUGGCUAACUGCAGGUUGGAGGUUGGUCAUUUUUGUUUCAGUCUUGUCUUUCGCAAUUGGAUCCGUUAGCAACAGGGCAGACCCAAUCCAACACACUAGCUAUAAUUUCCAUAAGCUCUACGUCGACAAGAAAUAGGUACUAGACACUACUUUUCUGUAGCGAACAUAGUCCUAUUAGAUCAUAGUUUGUGAUGAUUGAGUUACAACAUGAUCAUUGGGACUAAUGAUUUGUUUAGAUUACAUUGAAGGUUUUCUAGUCAUAAGGAAGCAAACCACAAAAAAAACCACGCGAAGAAAUGAAGAUUUAUCCACCGAUGCAAUGCACUGACUCAUUCGGUGAUGGCAAGAAACACCACUGAAUCAGUCGGCGAUAUGAUGCGCACAAGCUAAUUGGGACCAUCGGAUGAUCCUUUGGGUGCCAGACUGAGGCAUCGGGCCAUCCAAUGACCACAAUGGAAGUUGGCUGAAGGGAUGCGUACCGAAUGAUCCGACAGCCAUUUAUUUGUACCCAUCGAUUUGGGCAAUGAAGAAAAUGAGAGGAGCACUGGAUGAUGUGAUACUAUGCCUAUGCGUCGAUGAACAUCGGACGAAGCAAAUUUACUUUGUGUACUUCGAGAGAGGUUUUGGGCGAAAAUUCUUCAGCACUGGAUGUCGGAGGCAUCAGAUGAAGCACCGGAUGAAUCGGUGCAGCAAAUCAGUCGAUGGAAUGCGUCGGUGAGGAAUUUUGGGCGUAGGGAGGUCUAUGGCUAGUUGCACCGGAUGUUCCGAUACCUCUAAAAUGUAACCGUCGGAACAUCCGAUGGUAUAUUUUAACUAGCUGUUGGAGCAACGGCUCUUUGAAGUCUGGGGGCUAUUUAUACCCCUACCACUCGCUCAUUUAGAGUUGCUGAAGUGUCCAGGAGUGCAUUCAAGACCACAAGACUCAUCAAGAACACAUCCGUGCUACCAAAAAUGAAAAAGUGAUUGACCUAAGGCUUAACACAUACUUAGAGAAAUAAUUAGUGCUAGGAUAGACCUAGAGAGAGUGAGUGCAAGGUGCUGCUACCUUGUGAUUGGUUUACGGAGUGAACCACCAUUGUAAGCUUCGUGUGCUGGCGUCUUAGAGUCUUGGUGGCUUGCCGGCAAGUCUUCGACCCUCCAUCUUGGUGUGGAGCGACGACGAUGACCAUGUGCGGGGGACGAGAAGACCCCUUCCUUCGUGGAGAAGUUUCGUAGUGAAGAUGACAUCAAGGUGACCGGAAGAGAGGGACUGGUGAGCCUUGCCUUAGUGGCAAGCUUCUCAUCCAGCUUGGCGAGAGCCUUUGUGACGAGUCCAAGACCUUGACCGGGAGAGAAUUGGUGACCGGGAGCAUAUCCUUGAUGGAGCUUCAACGUGGACUAGGGGUGGCAUUUGCCUACUGACAUCAUGGGAUAAAUCAUCGUGCCGAAUUUGCCUCACCUUCCUAACCUACUCAUUCACGUUUCCGCAUUUCGUACUUCCUACUUGAGGGCAUUUACUUACUAGAGUAGUAUCUUGAUAUAGGAUUGGCUCUAAGUUGCAAAACUCUUUGUGGGAGGGAAGUUUCACUAGAUCAACUAUAUUUGCACAUCUAAACAACAUGAUCCAGUUUAUGUUUCUAGUAGAAGCCAUAAGCUGAGGAUUUUAAGUUUGCCUAAUUCAUCCCCUCCCUCUCGUAGGCUACGAGCACUGAUUUCUUGUAUCUUCCAAUGUAGACACCUUUAUUCCAUACUUGAAUUUAAUACUACUCAUCUCUUAUUAUAUCUUGGAUGGUGUGUAGAAACUAGAUCUUGGUUUUUUCUCUUUCUUCAUUUAUGCCACAUCAUCUUUUAUUCUAAGUGGCAACUCAUUUAAUUCUAUGGACACCAUCCUAGUCAUCGGAUUGGGACUGCCUUGUAGGGUGGUGGUGUCUUCUUUUUAGCAAGUGUUCUCUCUCUCAUAUUAAGGCCCCCGGCUUCUCCUCCCAAAGACGACUCAGGGCUCGUUUGUUUGUUCCGAAGAGUCGGAGAAGCAACAGCUCUCCCAAAUGGGUCGUAAAAGCACAUUUUGGCUUCUUGAACUAUCACAAAAGGUACACAAUGGACAUUAGUUAUUAUGAGAUCGACUGCAAAAGUGACAGCUAGACCACGUCUCUUACUUACGUCUUCCGUGUUGCAUUAUUGCAUAUCAAAAACCCAUUUUCCAGUGGUUAUAAAAAUAAAUAAUUGGAGGCAACAGAACGGCAGCAAAUUAAAUAUGUGCCCUGCACAUGAGUCUGCGUUAUGGCAGCUGCACGUACGCUCGCACGACUGAUAAAAGGGGGCCAAGGGUGUGUCCUGUCGAGUCGGAUCGCCUCUCUAUCUCAACAAGCACAAGGACACAAUAGAACACGAGAACAAGUACGAGGGACAAAUCUUUAUUACUGAAUUGGAUGAUUUACGAUAAAAAUCUUCCUCGUAUAUAUUCUUCAAACCUAGCUUAAAGUUUUAGUAAAAACCUACGAACAACUAGGACUAGGACUUCUAGUCCUUCCUUUCCUUCCAGGAAUCUCAGCUUCCAUAUUCUGAGAUUGAGUCCUGUUGUUUUACGACAUGUCCAUCUGCCAAGCACCAAAAUACGCGUGCACACACAUAGAAGAGAGAGUGCCGAUGAGAAGUCUGCUCUCUCUCGAGAGGGAGAUUGAGGAUGCCCUUUGGGCACGAGGUGGUGAGUGCAUCAUGAGUGCAUCAUCUGUGUGGGAUUGGGAGGCACUGGAAUACGAGGCUAUACAAUGUAGGGAUCCGAAUCUCUGAUUCUACCGAUGUUAAUCCGGAGUCCUGUUCAAUGGGCCAGAAGAGGUCCUAAUCCUGCAAAGUUCUCUAGUUCAUGAGGCGGUGAUGUUGGCUUCCCUUUCCUUCGUCGGGGCCGCACUGCAUCGCUAGAGACCUGAGCCAGUCUUCUGUGUUGUCCGGUGCCUGCACAAGCACGGCAGAAUGCUCCGCGUUGUCCUAGCUGAACGGUGGCACGAUGGAGGUGUAGUAACCGUAUCUCACAGGGAGCUGAGCGUGCUGUUCUUAGCAUGGUUUUCCCUAUGCUGCCGGUCACUCAUGUAUGCACAUGGUGUAUUGAACCUAAUAAUCUUUCAUUCCCGUACCAAAAUGUGUCAUCCACUGGGUGUAGGGGCACCAAGUGUUGUCAUUUAAUUUGUCGGUGGUUCCAAUGAUCUUGCUCAAGACCAUGAAGGUGUUGAAAGGGUUCCUCCUCCGGAGGUGAAUGCUCAAGCGCUGGAAACGAUCAACGAAGUUGUCAUAAGGCUAUGGUUUUAUGUCUUUACAAGAGGCUCUGCAAGCACUACUGCUCCAAAGAGCGAAACUUCAAGUUCAAGGUGUGAUUGUGAUUGCUUCCAUGUUGUUUCUCAGCUUGAAACAGCAACAGCAUUUGGAUCAAUAAUCCAAACUACGCGCAUCUUGCGAUUCGUUUUCUCUUAUCCAAUUUUGGGAGGAAGAGACGUCCGGAUGCCCAAGUUACGUUACAACCACUGUUUAUUUGAGAGCGUAGGAAGUGAUGCACGCUUCUUGUGUACGUUUUCCACGAUGCGCGUCAUGACUCACGACCUUAAAUGGGAGUCAAGAGUACCCAUCACCCAAGCAACAGAAUGCGCGCGCGCGCACACACAAAAGAGCGCUAAUGGGAAGUGGUUGCGCUGUCGUGAGCGAGGAUGUCUUUGUGCAUGAGAUGAAGAGGGUAAAUCGUGGGACUGGGAGGCACUGGAAUCCCUGGCUAUACAGGAUGGAACAAAGUCACUGCCCAUCAACCCAUGCUAAUCUGGAGUCAACGGAGUGACUGAGAGGUCCCAGUACCCGAGAAGCAUUCUCUAGGCUGUGCCACCUCAUAGUCAUUGCGUUCCCCUUCCAUUGAAAUUGAUUUGUGUCCUGUGUUGUUCGGAGCUUGCACAUGCACAAGUGGACAACCCUCUACCAGUUGCAGGAUUGGGUGGUGGCACUGGCUAAUGUUGUUUUUCGUUCUUCAAUAGCCACAGUUGUGUAAGCUUCUGCCGUAGAAUACCAUGCUUCAUUUUAUCCCGGAUUAAUUCUUGGUUCCACAAGCUGUGUUCACACAGUUCCAAAUGUCGCUCACAGAGGCUAUUACUUGACCAACCGUACCAAAAUGCUACCAGGUGCUCGAAGAGUUCGUCAUUUGUUUGGGACGGCUGUCGCAUAGUUGGUUUGUCUGUCUCCGAAGUCCAAACAUAUCACUUGUUGGCCGUACUUGUCAAUUGUCAUCGCAACUCGCAAAUGUGCGUGCUGUUGUUCUGUUUCGAUCCUGUUGCAGGUUGGAUCUAUUAGUGGGUGGUCCUGUCUCCUUCCACAAAGUAUUCUCUCUCCUUUAUAACAGUCUAUAAAAUUACACUAUGAACGUUUAUGUAUUAUGUCCUUUUAAAAACAUUAAUUAAUUUUUAUGGGACCGCAGAAGUGAUAAUAAACCGACGGCAUCUCUUAUGUACGUUUUCCGUGCCACAUUAGUGCCUGUCAUAAAAAAACCAUUUACCAUUGGUUAGAGAGAUGAAAGUUUUGAAGCAGCAGAAUGGCACAUGAGACCACGCUAUGACAGAGGUUGCAUGGCCGAUAGAUCAUCGUGACCAUAAAAGGGUGUGACCUGCUGGCAGUGGCGGAGCCAGCAUUUGCAAGUUGGGUAUUCCCAUUUUCUAUGGAAAAAAAAAUCUAGGAAGCCAUCCACACUAAUUUUCCAAAGUCUUCAAAUAUCUAUAGAAAGAAAAUUAUACACACUAAUUUACUAAUUCGCACCAUCGAUUAUGCUGCAAAAUUGGUGCUCACAUAUAACAUGUUCUAUCGCUCUUUUGCCAAAGUUGAGUUAAGCCCCUGCUGCUGCCUUCCAUGCACGAUUGCGUUGUUCAGCUGCUGCUGCGCCUGGGACAGUUGUGUUGUUCGGCACCCGGUCAUCCCCUUGUGGCGCGGACUUAGCUGCCUGGCACAUCCAGCAUGCGGCCGGUCGGCCUGCCGCCACAUGGUGCUUGCCGCCUCAAGGACUCCAAGCGGAGCCCGCCGGCUUGUGCUCACCGACUCGUUGCGCCCGCCACUCGCCAGGCCGCUAGACCUUUGGUUCGAUUCAGUUUUGGGGUAGGGCAACGACAAGGAGAGGAGUGCAUGUACAUCGCUGUGUGCACCGUGCGUUGUGGCGAGAGUGCUAGCCUGCGAGGAGAACGACGAGAGGCGGAGAGAAGUGGGAUGUGUGGGCUGUGGACUGUUCUGAUGGCAGGCAGGGGAGGGUGAAAAACGCUGGCUGGGUUGGUGUGGCACUUUGGGCCGAUUUAUAACUUAAGAACCAGAUAUUACAGCCCAAUAUAGUAUCUACAUAUGUAUACACUUGAUUUAUACUGGUCUUUUGCAAAUUGCAAAACACUACUGGAAACUCAGUAUCGUCCCAAGACUCAGUACCAGUUGCAUUUUGAUCUGUACUAAUGUGAGCAUUAGUACCAGGCUUAACGGCUAGUCCCCGAGGAGCCCCCGUGUACCGGGUGGAAGCUUCACCCGGUACUAAAGAUCACCCAUUAGUACCAAUUGAAGCCUCCAGCCGGUACUAAUGUGCAUGAGUGCCUUUAGUACCGGGUGGAGGCUUGACCCGAUACUAAUGACCUUUAGUACCGGGUGACGCCUCCACCCGGUACUAAAGGGGUACCUCUCCUCACGCAUCAGCCCCCCUUCUCUCUCUCACCCCACACUCACCCCCAUCCCCACACUUGUCCGCUCAUCCCCUCAUCCGACCUCUCACCCGCGCCUCUCUCUCUUCUUCUCCCCGCCGAAUCCCCUCUCUCCCCCCUAGCUAAAUCCCCUCUCUCUCUCCCACACACAGAUCCCAUCGCUACCCCUCACCUCUUACAUGUGGUGAGGACCGGCGGUGGGGCAAGGAGUGACGAAGGCAAGAAGGGAGGGCGCGGCGAGGCGGUGAAGUGUCGGCAGGGCGGCGGCGGGGCCAGGAGCGGCGGAGCUUCGGUGGGAGGGCACGGCGGCGGAGCGUCGACAAGUGUGGUAGAGCAAGGAGUGCGUGGAUCUUGGAGUAACGACCACCUUUGCCUCAAAUCUGGCAGCGGCGGCAACCGACGGGCUAAGGAGCAGCGGCGGCGGCAACCGGCGGAGGUGGCUGAGCAGCGUAAGUACGCUGCCUCCCUCUCCCCUCUCUCUCUCUGGUGCGGGACUUCAGCGCUCGAGCGGAUGGUGGUGGGGUGCGGCUGGGGCUCCGGCGCUUGGGCGGACGGUGGCGGGGUGCGGCAGGGGCUCCAGUCAACGGAUUUUUUUUAUUUUUAAUACCCCUUUAGUAUCGGUUAUUUGACCUGAUACCCCCUUUAGUACCGAAAUAGCAAUACCAGUUGCACAACUGGUACUAAAGGGUGGUUUACACCCGAUACUGAAGGUGCAUUUCCCAGAAGUGAAAUUUGGGUAUUCGUGGCACCAUGCUGCCUCCGCCCCUGCGUGCUGGCCGCUGCAAGGAUCAACAUGCACACAACCACAUUGAUGAGACAUGAGAGAGUGCCGAUGAAGGUCGCUGGGUUCUCGAGAGGGAGGGAGGAUGACCUUUGUGCACGAGGUGACGAGGAGUGUAUCACACGCAUGGGAUUGGGAAGCACUAGAAUUAGAAUUUGAGGCUAUACUAGUAGUGUUUUGGCCACUGCUCAUGUUAAUCUGGAGGUCUAUCUGAUGGACCAGCAAAGGUCCCCAGUUCUGUGUAGUUCUCUGGAUCAUCAUGACAGAACGGGGAUGUUGGUAUCCUUCUCGUUCAGCUACGCUGCACGGUCUCGAAAACUAUCAAGUCGUGUGCUGUCCGGGGCCUGCAACAGCACAAGCGCACAACUCUCUGUAAACCCAGCUAGAUAGUGCCAUGAAGGCUGGUGUGGUACCUCACCGGAAACUGGGGAUAUUGCAUCUUUUCUUAGCAUGGUUCUUCCCUGUCUCACCAAAGCAAUGAUAUUCUGAGACCUGAGUGCUGCCACAGGUGUGAGGUGUCAUGCUUAAGGAACUCACAUGGGGCUCCUCAUACAAUUCAAAACUGACACUAUUUUCCCUUUUGCAUGACAACAAAGAGUAAUAGUCGUGUAAAGCUUCCGUAGUAGAAAGAAUACCAUGGUUGAUGAGUCAAAUAAACACUAUUUUUUUUGUUAUACCAUCGAUUCACUAAAUGAACACCGCAAGGUUCAGUGCCAAAUGCACUGUCAGUGUCAAAUGCACUUCACCAACCAUACUACUUAUCUUUCAUUCCCAUGUCAAAAUGUAUCAUCCACUAGGUGUAGGACCACCAAGUGUUGUCAUUUAAUUUGUGGGUGGCUCCAACUGUUCAACAAAUGAUCUAGCCAAAGAAUAUAAAGAUGGAAAUGGUUCCUCCUCUAGAUCUGAAUUCUCAAGCACCAUUUGUGCGCUUCAAAAACCAAUUUCUCACGGCUUGGAGAAAUACAAGUUUAUUCUGAGAAAGCAGAAUUGUAGUAGUCACGUGCCGCUGCACAUGAAAUGACGCGUCAUGACUCAUGACCUUGAAAGGGAGUCAAGAGUAGUAUCCAUCACCCAAAGAAAUACAAUGAGCAAACACACAUACAAAAGAGCGCUAAUGGGAAGUGGUCGCGCUCUUGUGAGUGAGGAUGUCUUUGUGCAUGACGUAGAGUGUAAACUGUGGGAUUGAGAGGCACGGGAAUAUAAUUCCUGUCAACGCCAAUCAACCCCCAUGCUAAUCUGGAGUUCUGUUCGAAGAAGCGACAGAGAGGUCCCUGGUACCCGAUAAGCAUUCUCUAGGCUGUGACACCACGAUGCCACCUCAGACGUUGCGUGCCCCCUUCGUUGCACCACUGUCCUGUGUUGUCCGGGGCUUCCACUGGCACAUGUGCACAACCUGUCCCAGGAUUGGGAUGGUGGCACUAGAAUUCCUGGCUAAUUUUAACUUUCUUUUUGCAGGAGCCAUAGUUGUGUAAGCUUCCAUAGUAGAAUAACAUGCUUUAUUCCAGAUUCUUGGUUCACAAGCUGUUCAUAGCCAAACGUCGCACACAGUAGCAGGCUGGGCCUAUUAGUGGGUGGGCCUGUCUCCUUCCACAAAGUACUCUCUCUUUUUUAAAAGUCUAUCUUGGCUCCUGAACUAUUGCAAAAAUUACACUGUGGACAUACAUUAUUAAUUAUUAUGCAUGGAACCGCAGAUUUAAUAGACAGGCCGCAUUUCUUAUGUACUAUUGGUUAGAGAAGUUCAAGUUUGGAGGCAGCGAAAUGGCAGCAAACAUGUGCCGUUGCACAUGAGACCACAUUAUGGCAGCAAUUGCAAUCAUCAUGACCUCAAAACUAAAGGGGGUCAAGGGUGUGUCCUUCUAGCUGCUGCAAGCAUCACAAUUCACACAACCACACCGAGGAGAGAGUGCCGGUGCAUGAGAUCGAGGUCGCUGGGCUCUCGGGAGGGAGGGAAGAUGGCCUCUGUGCAGAGGUGACGAGGUGUGGGAUUGGGAGGCACCGGAAUUCGAGGCUAUACGGCGAAGAUUGUUGGGGCUGCCUAUGUUAAUCUGCAGUCCUGUUCAAUGGACCAUGAGAGGUCCCAGUUCUGCAGAGUCCUCUGGGACGUAAUGACAUCAUGGGGAUGUCUGCUCCCUUUUCCUUUGGCUGAGCUGCACCGUCUCGCAAACUGAUCAUGUCGUGUGCUAUCUGGGGCCUGCACAAGCACAUGCUCAUAGCUCUCUGUAAGAACCAGCUAGAUGGUGCCAUGAAGGCUGGAGUGGUGCCUCACCAGAAACUGGGCUUAUUGCAUCUUUUCUUAGCAAGGUUCUUCCAAGUCUUACCUCCUCCCAUAGAGCUGAAUUCUCAAGCGCCAGAAGCAAUCGAUGAAGUUGUUGUAAGCCUCAAAUUAACGACUUUACAAGCAUGUUAUGGUUGGUGGAAGAGACUCUCCAAGCAACACAGCUCCAUCUGUUUUUGGCAUUUGCAUAUGUCUCAGCUAGCCUACAAUGGGUACCUUAGAUCGAAUUGCAAGAAGAUUUGCAGACACUGAGAGAUCACGCAGACAAAAAUAACACCUUGUGCUAUACCUCUGGGAGGUUAGCUGAAUACACUUCACGAAUGUUCUACAAAUUUAACCCAGACAUUCUCUCUUCUUCUUAAAUGAAUAAGCAGUGCUCCUGCUUUAUUUCAAAAAAAAAUAUUCUAGAAAUUUAGCUUUGGCUCAAUGUCUACACCAAAACCCUUGCAUGGAUUUGGCAGAGCAAAUAAAUGCACGCCACGGCAAAUUUUGUGCUUGACUUCUUCUCAAUGACAGGCUAUACACGAGAAAUGUUCUUAGGAGGAGAAAGACUUUCCUACAGCCUGGAUACAUUAUUGUGUCUCGUGCAUGGGUGAUAUGGAGGAAACUUUGCCGCACAUAUUUUUGAAUGCUCCACAAGUGUUUGUUGUUGGUUUGCCAUUGGCAUUCAGUGGAGCACACAGCUGAACCUAAUGCAUAUGGUCCUAAAGACAAAGGAAAAGUUUCGAUCGGGCUUUCUUCAUGGGAAUUUUUGUAAUUGUAUUAGCGUGUGUGCAUAUGGAAAAGGAAUAUCUUAAUCUUUGAAGGCAAGUUUCGGAGCAUGGGUACAUGGAAAGUAGCUAUUUAGGCAUGAGAUUAUCCUGCAUUUAGCUAGGAGAACGUUUGUGUUUCAUCUCACUAACGCCACAUGGCCAGAUGCUGCAAUUUGAUUGCUUGUUUUUUCUAUUAGCACCUUGCUAGCCUCAUGAUUGCACAUACUCCUGCUAGUUACAUACUCCUGGUAGGAGCUCAUGAAUGUCGAUGAUGCCAACGACCAAGCAGAUGAAUGGAUGAUGACAAUGCUUCCAUGACAGCUUCUGAUGAAGGUGGAGAUGAUUAAUCGUGUGCUAAUUAAUAACUAGAGCAAUCGCAUUGGAGAAACCGGUAGGCUUUCUUAUUAGGACGGCGAUUGCAUUGGUUGAAGCACUUAGGUCCCACGCGGGACUCUGAGCCACCAUUUACACGGGAACGGAAGUGGCAGAGGAUUUCAUUGUGCUUGUGCAAGCCCCUGACUCCAGAGAACAGGAUCAUCCCCA